Molecule: ribosomal RNA, 513 nt
Filed under: uncultured bacterium
Lineage: Bacteria
Description: partial 16S ribosomal RNA
Rfam family: Bacterial small subunit ribosomal RNA
Source: RNAcentral
GACGAACGCUGGCGGCAUGCCUAAUACAUGCAAGUCGAGCGAACAGAUGAAGUGCUUGCACUUCUGACGUCAGCGGCGAACGGGUGAGUAACACGUAAGGAAUCUACCUAUAAGCGGGGGAUAACAUUCGGAAACGGGUGCUAAUACCGCGUAAUAUCUUCUUCCGCAUGGAAGAAGAUUGAAAGACGGCUCUGCUGUCACUUAUAGAUGACCUUGCGGUGCAUUAGUUAGUUGGUGGGGUAACGGCCUACCAAGACGAUGAUGCAUAGCCGACCUGGGAGGGUGAUCGGCCACAUUGGGACUGAGACACGGCCCAAACUCCUACGGGAGGCAGCAGUAGGGAAUCUUCCGCAAUGGGCGAAAGCCUGAAGGAGCAAUGCCGCGUGAGUGAAGAAGGCCUUCGGGUCGUAAAACUCUGUUAUAAGAGAAGAACAAAUUGUAGAGUAACUGCUACAGUCUUGACGGUAUCUUAUCAGAAAGCCACGGCUAACUACGUGCCAGCAGCCGCGGUAA